AACGCUAGCUACAGGCUUAACACAUGCAAGUCGAGGGGCAGCAUGGUCUUAGCUUGCUAAGGCCGAUGGCGACCGGCGCACGGGUGAGUAACACGUAUCCAACCUGCCGUCUACUCUUGGACAGCCUUCUGAAAGGAAGAUUAAUACAAGAUGGCAUCAUGAGUCCGCAUGUUCACAUGAUUAAAGGUAUUCCGGUAGACGAUGGGGAUGCGUUCCAUUAGAUAGUAGGCGGGGUAACGGCCCACCUAGUCUUCGAUGGAUAGGGGUUCUGAGAGGAAGGUCCCCCACAUUGGAACUGAGACACGGUCCAAACUCCUACGGGAGGCAGCAGUGAGGAAUAUUGGUCAAUGGGCGGGAGCCUGAACCAGCCAAGUCGCGUGAAGGAAGAAGGAUCUAUGGUUCGUAAACUUCUUUUGCAGGGGAAUAAAGUGCAGGACGUGUCCUGUUUUGUAUGUACCCUGAGAAUAAGGAUCGGCUAACUCCGUGCCAGCAGCCGCGGUAAUACGGAGGAUCCGAGCGUUAUCCGGAUUUAUUGGGUUUAAAGGGAGCGUAGGUGGAUUGUUAAGUCAGUUGUGAAAGUUUGCGGCUCAACCGUAAAAUUGCAGUUGAAACUGGCAGUCUUGAGUACAGUAGAGGUGGGCGGAAUUCGUGGUGUAGCGGUGAAAUGCUUAGAUAUCACGAAGAACUCCGAUUG
Molecule: ribosomal RNA, 694 nt
Filed under: uncultured bacterium
Lineage: Bacteria
Description: bacterial SSU rRNA
Rfam family: Bacterial small subunit ribosomal RNA
Source: RNAcentral